GCGGAUGUAGCCAAGAGGUUACGGCAAUGGAUUGUGACUCCAUCACACGCGGGUUCGACUCCCGUCAUUCGCCCC
RNAcentral lists this transfer RNA (75 nucleotides) under Herposiphonia versicolor. Its description in RNAcentral is "tRNA-His". It matches the Rfam family "tRNA". Rfam says of the family: Transfer RNA (tRNA) molecules are approximately 80 nucleotides in length. Lineage: Eukaryota; Rhodophyta; Florideophyceae; Ceramiales; Rhodomelaceae. The record is from RNAcentral.